This 5259-nucleotide long non-coding RNA is filed under the name Coffea arabica (coffee). RNAcentral's name for it is "long non-coding RNA (CARA_LNC001121)". The record is from RNAcentral. Lineage: Eukaryota; Viridiplantae; Streptophyta; Magnoliopsida; Gentianales; Rubiaceae.
UCAUUGCUUGGUAUAAAACAAGUGUAUUGUGGCAGUGCAAAUGAUAAUUUUGGAGGCUGUGGAUCGAUAUAGUCACUGCAUUCUGGAGAUCAUUCGAGGAGGGGUUUCAAGUGCCAAGGAGGAAUAAUAGCAUCAAAAGCAGUCUCUCUUCUACGGGCUUUCUAUGAGCAGGGAAAUCCCAAUGCACCUAGGCCUUAUAGACCACCGAGUCAAUUGGCUUAGGACUGUGUAGAUUCUCUGAUUUAGAUCAAUGAAAGUGAUCGACUCUUUCUUGUUCCUAAAAUGAUACCUCUGUAAUCAUUCAUUAUUAAGAGAUUUGUUAGUGAAAUAAGGAUUGCAUCAGUAAGCUUCGAAGUAAGGCCUUAUCUAUCUUCCCCACAAAUUUUUAAUUGCCUUCGAAAUCUGUCUUUUGAAGUUUUCGUUCGACAUUUGUAACUAAGUAGUUUCGCAGCUAAAAAACCUACAAUCCAGAUUCCGACAUAUAAUGAGCUGUAGAAUUAUAGUAGACUUUGUGACAAGGGAAGAAGCCCCAAAUUGGGGUGAUUGACUCUGCCAAGAAAAAGAAAUUGCGCCAAAAAUGAACAAAUUUGGGUUAUUGGUUCAUUGUUUUUCCCCCUUUUCGUUAAAUGCACUAAGCCCUCCUUAAAUUUAUACCUAAAUGCUGUUUAAUAAUUUUUAGGCACUUAAUUUUAUACCUAAAUGUUCCCUAAAAAAAAACCUUUAUACCUAAAUGAUAUAUAUAUAUAUAUGUAUAUAUAUAUAUAUAUACUCGAUCAAAUGUACCGUUGUUAUGUUAAUUACCUUUAUCGCCUUUGUUUACUUUUAAUUUCUUUUCUUUCUAUCUCCCUUUUCUCAUGCUACUUUUCAUAUUAUCUGUAAAUAAUUGUACAUUUUAGUGUAGGAUAGGAGUUUAUUUGAAAGAUUUAUUUGAAAUAAUAGUGAUGUGAUGUAUGUGAAAUAAAAAAGUAAUUAAAAUUUGAAAAGCAAAUUAUUUUAUUUCACAAUAUUUCAAUCCAAACACACCUGGGAAAUUUGGAAAGCAACUCCCUCUUCGUUUCAUUAUUUAGAAAUAUUUUACUAAUAAAUAAGCGUCCUGUGGCCAUUGAUGGGUAGGCAGACCAAAAAAAAUCCCAGUUUUUGGAAAAAUUUUCCCUAUCCUUUUCUCCAUUUUCUGAUUUCUUUCUUCUUUUCCCUUUAAAAACUGUUUAAAGGACUAAAGUUUCAGCCACCCCUGCCCGGGCUACUCCCAUCUGAGCCCUGGUUCCCCCGACCUCUCCAGACUCCUCGUCGCCGUCAAUCCGACGUUUCCUCCUGUAAGUCGCCGUGAAUGACCUAAGGCCUCCACAUCGCCUGCUCUUGGUCAAGUUUGUUUCUUAACUUUUUGUUCAUCAAAAUUAAAGUUUUUUUAUGUAAAUUGAAAUAGUCAGGGCUUUGUUACAGUUUCUUGCCUGUUGAUUUCUUUAGCACAUGGAGUCAGGGAUUAGCUUUCUUGCUUUUUGUUAUGAAUUUGCCAUGAAAUCUUGCUGAAACUUUCCUUUGAACUUGCCGUGUGAUAUUUGCAGCUUAUUUAUGUUUGUCCUGUGGAGCUAUUUUUAUUUAUUAUUGCUGUUUUUAAUUCCAAAUAGCAAAAAAUCGACACUUUUAUCUAAUUUACAUGAGAAUAGGAAUGGGUUUCUUAAAAAUCGACUUCAAAGUGGAUUUCAGAAACGGAUUUCUUCUCCGUUUUACCCCCUCCCCUCUUUGCUUUUCUGCUCUUGCUUUUUCCUUUUGCAAUUCACACGACUCCCUAAGAGAGGCAUUCAAACACGGGGGCCUUCGUUUUGGUACACCACAAAUCCACCAUAACUGAUCCCGAUAAUUGAGUAAUUAUUGACACCAUCUUUUCCUACAAAUUUCCAACAUAUACAUUUCAUUUUGGAAAAGCUGGGAUCUUUCAUUGGACAGCAGUGUAUGCUAAAUUCAUGGGCAAAGUACUAUAUGCCCCCUUGAAGAUUGUAGGCAUCAUAUUCAUACAUCGGUUGGCCGUGAAUUGGGAUUAUAGAGGUUUUAUAGGUGAAAAGGUUUCAGUUUUGGACGCCAAAGUUGUAUUGUGACCUGAUUAUGUUGUUUACUGUUCUUGGAGGUAGUAUUUAGUACUUAACAUGCUUGAUUAAGAAGAGUAUAUAGUCACGUUAUCAAAACUAGGGACAGUUGUGCUAAAAGCCUUAAGUAUUUAAUACUACCUUUCCUCUCAGCGGAGACCUUAUUCUUGCAAAAAUACUUCGUUUGGAUUAACUGUUUUUGGGGGUGUUUUUGAAAAAUGUUACUGUAGCAGAGUUUUUAUAGUAUAUUUUGGGAUUUUUUAGAAUAUAUUUUGGGGUAUUUAAAAGUAAUAAAGUUUUUAGAAUAUAUUUUGGGAUAUUUUUCAAACAUUAAAAAAAAUUUAAACUACUUUUAGAGUACUUUUUAAAAAUUUUUAUAGUAUUUGAAAAACUCUUGCUUUGGAUGAUGCUAUACCAUUACUGUAAAUCAUGGCAGACGGUUUUGGUACAGCCAACAAAUUUCCAGCUACAACAUCUGUUAUUAUUCCCUAGUUUAUAUAACAGUGAAGUAAGUGUUCGCAUCAUACCGAGCAGGGAAUUUGAUGUUAACUUCCAAGUUGUCUUACUCGCUGGUUUCUUUAUUUUUUUUGGUGGGAAUUAUUUAUGAAGAGUGAAAACUGAAGAAUAGAGUAACAAUGUCGAGAUUACUGCAGCUUAUGAUCUGCUAUUCAUAACGGAUGAAAGAUGUAGAUCAAGUUUGCUGUAUUGAAAUCAACGUUGUAAAAUGUAGUUAAACACUUGAUAUUUCUGUUAGAGAAGCUAAAGCUAAAUUAAAAUUAUUGCCAUGAAAAUACAAAUUCAGUUGUUUUCCAUUUACUUGUCACAAUUAUAUCAUAUCAUGUCAAUAGAACUUCAUGCCAACACUAAACACUGAUCUAGUACAACUCCGUUUUUCAUGUCCGUCUAAAGUGAUUUCUUCCUUGCAAUAACCAUGGCUGCAAACGCUCCACAGAGACAAUAAUAUCACGCAGAGAGUUUUCCAGUUUCUAACAUUAUUGCUUCUCUUCAACUGCAUUUUGUUCAAACAUCAAAACAGUGCAAACAUUAGGCGUCAUCCUUCUUUCCUUUGCUCAUUUCUCUUGCCUUUUCCUCUAUCUUUCUUUUCCUGGUUGAUGGCGGUUGGUUGAUUUUCAGAUGAUCAUCAGCUACAAAAUCAUCUAAAAAGCAUGUAAAACUUCCUGCGAAAAUCAAUUUGCCCUCUUUUGGAGUUAAGAGAAAAAGAGACAGAGAGAACCGAAUUGAUACUUCUUUGGCGUGAAAUAAGGAGUCGUGUGGCCCUUGUAAGUUUUAAGAGCUAGUGGCAAGAUAAUGAAGCUGAGCAAAAGUAAAAGCAGGCGGACUUAUUGACAACGUUUACUGAUUAGAUAUAUGGAACUACUACAUGUUAUUUCUUUUCUUUUAAUUUUGCACACACACACACAUAUAUAUAUAUAUAUAUAUUGGGUUUUGGUUGCUAAUUAGAAUAAAAUAGGCAAUCUGAAUAUAUAUUAUUGACCAUUACUAUCCUGCUCAAAGCAACCCCCUUCCCCCCACGGCCGCCCCAAAAAAAACCCUUCCUGCCUUUACUUUUUGCAGCACAUAUGAUAAAUUUCAAUGUAAUUUUUGGAUAUUUCCUAUUUAUAAUUCUUUCUAUUUUAUCAUCUAAUCCAACUUUUCGUCAUAUGACUUUUUUUUUUUUGGAACCGUCGUCAUAUGACUAAAACUGCAAUUAUUUUUUUUAACAAGAUUUGGCUUAAAUUAGGCUAUAAAGCCUAUACCGAUCAAUAAGUAGGAAUAAAACUUUUCGGUUUCAAAAGAAGAUGCCCUCCCUAACUUACCCUGCUCCUCUUGUGGCCUCCUUUGGUUCCAUCAGUUAGUCUCUCUCACCUUUCUCGCUGGAAGUCUCCAAUCUCUCAAAGUUCAAUCGGCCACCGGCAAUUUCUCUUCCUUGCUAUACUCUCUUCUUUUUGCUACUGGCAUACCACCAAAACACUAGCAUCCGUUUCUUACUUAAUUCGUGUAAUUAAUCAUUAGCUACACACUAACUCGGAAAACUUCCAGAUUAGCAUUAGAUUGUUAUUGAAUUUAUUGGGCUGCUAUCUCUCACUUCCUUAUUUGAUGUCUAGUUGCAUUUGUCUUUUUUUUCUUCUUCUUUUUUGAGUGAAUCAAGCAUGUAACUUCGUUUACCUGUCUGGGUUUUCUAUAUACUUAUUACUAUUGGAGAAAGUUGAUUCCUUUACUUAAUUUUCUAAAACCCCACUUGCAUUUAGUAAAUUUGAGUCACAAUUUCCAAGUAUUGCACACUAAUUUGAUCAAAAAAUUGCAUUUUGUUAAAGUGUAUUUUUUUUAUGUGACAAGUGUAAUAUGCAUUUUGAACUCAAAUUUUGCUUUGUAAUUGUGGUAUAAUGUGAUUUUCAAAGUAAAGAAAGAAAAAUAAUCUUUUUCCUAAGAAGAAAAUCGUUACUUAAGUGGCUGAUAGAUGCAUUUUAAUGCAUUUUCCUUUUGUUUUCUUCUUCUGCCCCUUUUUGUCAGCCAUCUUCAACUAUAUACAUGUCGGUACUUGCAGUCACAGAAAGACUGCAGAUGGAGAUGGUGCCAGAUACCGAAGCAUUUAUGAAGUUUGCAUUCCACCAAGCAAAGCUUGCUUUAGAUAACCUUGAAGUUCCUGUUGGCUGUGUCAUUGUGGAUGAAGGAAAUAAUAUUAUUGCCUCUGGAAGAAAUCGAACCACUGAGAGCCGAAAUGCUACGAGGCAUGCAGAGAUGGAAGCCAUUGAUGUGCUUUUGGACCAAUGGCGAGAAAAUGGACUUUCAAAGGAUCAAGUUGCUGAAAAGUUUUCAAACUGCACCCUUUAUGUCACAUGCGAGCCGUGCAUUAUGUGUGCUGCAGCCUUAUCAAUGCUUGGUAUAAAACAAGUGUAUUAUGGCUGUGCAAAUGAUAAAUUUGGAGGUUGUGGAUCGAUAUUGUCACUGCAUUCUGAAGAUCCUUCGAGGAGGGGUUUCAAGUGCCAAGGAGGAAUAAUAGCAUCAGAAGCAGUCUCUCUUCUACGGGUUUUCUAUGAGCAGGGAAAUCCCAAUGCACCUAGGCCUCAUAGACCACCGAGUCAAUUGGUUUAGGACUCUGUAGAUUCUCUGAUUUAGAUCAAUGAAAGUGACCGACUCUUUGUUGCUCCUACAAUGAUACCUCUGUAAUCAUUCAUUA